UUUCGAACCUCUUGACCCACUUGAAUAAAAGCCUUCCCUUACUCAACCAAAUGAUUUGGACCAAUUGACCAUUUGCAGGAAUUCACUUGAUAUUUUAUGCUUAAUGAAUGUGAGAGUUGGUUGAUUUGAAUGUGUGGAUGCUUGAUGAUGAGUAUAAGGGCAAAAGGAGUUGAGAUAGGCCUAGAGAAGCUAGAGUGUAAUGAGAGAGUGUGCUCAUGUUAGAGUAGAUGUUGAAUCGAGUGCUAGUUGUGUUUCUUUUGGCUUUGAGCUCCCACCUUCAAACCUCUCUCCCUAUGAGUUCUAGAAAGUUCACUUGUGGACAAGUAAAAGAACAAGUUUGGGGGUGUUGAUAUCUUGCAUAUUUCCAUUGUCUUAUCCAUUCACCCAUGUGCAU
Molecule: long non-coding RNA, 394 nt
Filed under: Brassica napus (rape)
Lineage: Eukaryota; Viridiplantae; Streptophyta; Magnoliopsida; Brassicales; Brassicaceae
Description: long non-coding RNA (BNAP_LNC024531)
Source: RNAcentral